CAAUAUGUAAACAUGUAGUGUCCUCAGGAUGGAUCUAACCUGAGCUCUUUGUCCCGCAGCCGUGGCUCACUGCCCGCCGGCGGGCAGUGAGUCAGUGGGUUCCCAAGGCCAAGGAGAGGCCCAGCCCUGGCCCCCCAGGAUGGCAGCCCCACCCAGGGGAGUGUGAGGCCCUUCUAGGCUGACCUCAAAGACACCGCUCUCCCCAGAAUCCAGAGGGACACCUGGAGGGAUAAACAGGUCAGCCUUGGGACCAGAGGCCCUUUCCUUGUGUCAGCCCUGUAACUUUUACUGGCCCAGUGGGACUUAACGUAGCCUUCUGGAGGAAAGAGCAUCUUCACGUGGAUUUAUCCUGGCCCGGAGGCAGAUGCAGUGACCUCGGCUCCCGUGUUGCCAGGAUCUGA
Molecule: long non-coding RNA, 401 nt
Filed under: Bos mutus (wild yak)
Lineage: Eukaryota; Metazoa; Chordata; Mammalia; Artiodactyla; Bovidae
Description: lncRNA (ENSBMUG00000004890.1)
Rfam family: Maternally expressed 8 exon 1 (bases 5-101)
Source: RNAcentral